AGGCCGUGACUAUAUUAACUCACAACUACCCUGUGAGGGAGCUAUAUGACUAUCCCCCAAUUUGCAUACGGGCAAACUGAGGCACAGAGCCUCUGAGGGGAAAUUUGCUCAGAAUCAUGCAGCAGGUGUGGGAUUCCAACCCGGGCUCCAUUGACCACUAAUCACUGGGCACUAUAAAAGCCUUGAAGCCAGAAGGUAGGGGAAAACAGGAAAUGAAUGAAGUAUUUCAGGUAACAAGAGGUACCAAGAAGAAAGUAAAACAGAGCAGGACCUUUCAGGCCCUUAUCUCCUCCCUGAGAAGGACAUGUUUGAGCUUCCAGCCUGAAGAGGAUGGGGGUGGUAGGGUGGUGGAGACUAGUUUAGAAAUCAAGAGUGGCAAGUGCAAAGGCCCUGGGGUGGGAACCAAUUUAACAUGAUGGAGGAAUCGCCUGAAAGCCAAUUUGGUUGGAGAGCUUUGAGGAUAGGAUACCUGAAAGAGACCACGUGCAUCUGGGUACUACCAACUCCACUACUUACCAACCAUGAGACUUUGAGCCAAGUGGAUGGAGCACUGUGCCUCAGUGGGGAUGAUGACAGGCCCCACCUUGUAGGGUCUGAAAUACAUGCGCUCACACUUUGGGAUUCCUUGAGCUGACAUGUGAGAAGUCCAGCUACCCUGAAGCCACUAUGCUGGUGAGAGCACAUGGAGAGACCACAGAGAAAUAAAGAGAAAGGCCUGAGGAGCCCCAGCUGUUUGGGACUUCCCAGCCCAGGCCUAGAUGUGAGUGAGUAAGCCUUCAGAUGUUUCCAGCUCCCUAUUCCACAGCUAUCCCAGCUGACACCAAGCGGGGUCACUGACCCUGGUCUGAACCCUGACCAAAUUGCAAAAUAACAAGUAAAAUAAAUGUUGCUAUUGUUUUAACUUGAUACCAAGUAGCAUAGAGACAAACUACACCCACGGAGCCCUGCCAGAUUGCAGAGGCAUGAGCGAAAUAAAUGUCACUAAAUUUGGGGAUAGUUUGUUUUGCUGCCAUAGUUCCUUGACCUGCUGCAGACCCACGAGACUCACCUCCCGGGUUCUUCCUCACCAAAACAACCCAGACUUCAUUGGGGCGACAGCAUACCCUUCCUGAGGCAAUGGGGCAUGAUUUGUUUCAGCCAAUCAUGACAAUCCUACUCCAGCUUUCCUAGCCCCCUUUGUCCUAGGGGUUCUGCCAAUGAAGCACAAAUAGAAGUCUGUACUGGGGAGGGGGGUGUUUCAGAGCAAUGCAUUCCUGAUAGAACAGGCCUUCCUGCUGUGAACACAGACCACCUCGCAUUAACGAAGGCCAAGACAACCGCAGUGUGGGAGCCCUGACGUCUAAGAACUACGAAAGCAACUCCAGCCACAGCCAGUUAUCUGGGAUUCCUGUAAGUUUAACAGAAGAGAUUCAGUGGACUUAUUCCAAGAGUUGGAGCCAUCUGGGACCUUCAAGCUGGCUUGACUCACUUGGUUUUGAUGGGUGGAGACAGAGGGAUUGGUAACAACCCUACACAAAUGUCCGUGGACGCAGCCAGGAGACUGUGUCAAAGGGGCUGAGGGUCGAUCCCUUUUGCUGCCACCCUUGGGGCAGAAUGACAUCCAAUCAAACCUCAGGUAACACAGGUUCAGUAAACAGGCUUUCCCUACAAGAAAUGAUGAUGAUUACGAUGAUGAUGAUGAUGUGAUGGUUCUGGUGGUGAUGAUAAUUGUGUAGAGGGGGGAGACAGGUUCAAUAAACAGGCUUUCCCUAAAAGAAAUGAUGAAGAUGAUGGUGAUGAUGAUGAUAUGAUGGUUCGGGUGGAGAUGAUAAUGGUGGUGAUGGGGAUGAUGAUGUUAAUGAUGAUGGUGGUGAUGCUGAUGAUAGCAGUGGGGAUGCAACAUCGACGAUGUUGAUGAUAGCGGUGGGGAUGCUGAAGUUGAUGACAAUGAUAGCGGUGGGGAUGAUAAAGUCAAUGAUGACGAAAAUGAUGGUAGGGAUGAUGAUGAUGAUGAUAAGGAUGGUGGUGGUGGUGGUGGUGGUGGAUGAGAGGAUGAUAAGAGCUGACACUUACGUAGCAGUGUGGCCGUAUGUGCCAGAC
Long non-coding RNA from Camelus dromedarius (Arabian camel), 2079 nucleotides. RefSeq lists it as uncharacterized. NCBI's taxonomy places the organism in Eukaryota, Metazoa, Chordata, Mammalia, Artiodactyla, Camelidae. The transcript has 4 exons. The record is from RefSeq and is a predicted model, not a curated record.